GGCCCGGCCGUCUCCUCAGGCCCCGGGGCCUCGCACCGGCUCCCUCGGGCUCUCCGCCCUCGCUGCGACCUGCCUCGUUCCUGUCACGGCCUCCACUGGCCGCCCCUCCUUGCCCGCCGUGUCUGAGCCGCCCGCUGUGCAGCCGGCGGUGGUUAACGGGGUUGCCGAGGUUCCGGCUGAGCAGCCGCGGAGCAGCGCGAGUACGAAUCGCGACUGCUGUGCAUCCUUAUUCCCAUGUUGCCAUCUCCUCUGCAGUGGUUCAAGUCUUUGCUCAUUCAUAUGCUGUAAACCAAACGGGGGAACCAAGUGACAUCCAGAUUCCUGUGCUGGUGCAACUGCAUCUUGAUCUCCUGCUGGUACUGUAUGGUAAGAAGGCAUUUACAAUGAGUCAUUCGGUAUAAUGACCAUUCUUCUUAAACCGUAGCUGACAUCAUUUAAUUGUAAGUCCUUGUACAAAAUAACAGAUGAAUAAACAUACAAUUUCUGCAACACAGUAAUUAGACAAGCCCUUCUAACAGAGACUUCUUUUUCUUUUCCUAUUCUGGAACUCAGAUUGCAGCUACCAUUUUCUCAUAAAUGUCUCCACUGACUGGCUCACAUAAAAUCUGUCCUCAUAUGUUCCUGUCUAGGAAGUUCUUCCAAGCUUGCACAGCUGCCAAAAAAUAAUGUCUUGGAAAGUCAUGUCCUCUGCUUGAAAUUCCCCCUCUUAAGAAGUCUUCUGCCCCAUCUGAUUUCAUAAUAUCCCACUUAGAUUUUGAACGGUCAUGAAGACGCACAUUCUUCAGCAUACGUUUAUCUGGAACUCAUCAUCAUUUGAUCAGUGGCUUGAAACAAUUUUUUAAUUACUGGAGAGUCAACAAGCCAAAUUUAUAUCUGAGGUAAGUGGGUGCAUCUUCAAAUAAGUCAUGAGAAGUCUGAGGAAGACCUUCACACAGAAAAUAAAGCAUUGGAUUUGCCGUCCAGUGCUUGACUCUCACUGAUCUUCUGCCUUUCUUUUUGCAGGCUGAACGUAAACCAAGGGUUUAAACAUUUUUAAUAUGUUAAUGAUUCUUUCCCCAGCUACAAGGAGAACAAGUGGCAAAGUGUUUUGAAGCAGAAAUGUUAGUGUGAGAUUUUCAACCCUCCUGUAGAGCUAAAAGAGUUGUACCCGUUCCUCCUAGAUAGGAGUGAGCUUGUUCUUGAACCUCGGAAGCGUAGUCAAGAAGGCAAUAUAAAAAUAAACAAGUAGUCCUUCACCUCACCUCCACCUUGGAGAUUUGAACUCAGAUUGCUACUAAAAUAGGCAUAUUCUAACCUUGCAUUCUAAAAAAAAAAUAAAAAAAUAAAA
Long non-coding RNA from Apus apus (common swift), 1327 nucleotides. RefSeq lists it as uncharacterized. The record is from RefSeq and is a predicted model, not a curated record. NCBI's taxonomy places the organism in Eukaryota, Metazoa, Chordata, Aves, Apodiformes, Apodidae. The transcript is spliced from 2 exons.